GAGAACCACAGAUAUGUUGAAAGCUGUCCUGGGUAGCAACUUCUAUCAAAAGAUUUCUACAAGUUGUCCUCUGGCCUGCACAUGAUCUGUGGCUGGAGCAUGCCGACACAGAUACACACACAAGGUGAAGAUGAGCGACAAGUGAAGUCAGUUUGGAAGCCCUGCCCUAGACUUCGACACUGUGGCAUCGGGCUUGGUGUACAGGACCAUGGUGAAAGAAUACAGCCUCCCUGAAUGUCUCCUCCUCACCUUUCCCUUCCUUUCCACUGGAUAACAAGAGCAUUGCCUCAGCUAACACAUGCAAACUCAAG
Grammomys surdaster is the source of this 311-nucleotide long non-coding RNA. RefSeq lists it as uncharacterized. Lineage: Eukaryota; Metazoa; Chordata; Mammalia; Rodentia; Muridae. The record is from RefSeq and is a predicted model, not a curated record. The transcript has 3 exons.